CCCGGGAAGAGUCGGCGCCGCUAGUGCCGGGACCAGGAGCCUCCGCGAGCAAGAUGGCCGCUCCCGAGACCGAGGCCAGGGGGCAGGGGUACUAAGUCCGGACCCGCGUGCCCUUCUCCCGGCCGCCUGCGCCCUCAUCAAGACCUCGCGCUUCUAGCCAAGACAUCUACAUGGAUUAUUCUCGCCGUGGUCACGAGGCCGUUCCAAUAGAGCUCUAGUUGGCCCAGAUUGAGAACUCUGGCAUUUGGCUGCUCUGAGCUGGAACCUCCGGGAGGUCUGCUGCAACAGGUGCGACCCUGACCGCUCCAUGCUCGUGGGCGCGGGGAGGCGUGGCCUCCCCCGGGGCGGCCACCUCUGUUGGUUGCUGUGCGCUUUCACCUUAAAGCUCUGCGAAGCAGAGGCCCCGGUGCGCGAGGAGAAGCUAUCAGGUGGGUGAUUGCCCGAGAAUCCUGUACCUCUCUAUAGCUUGUUUGUUUCUAAUGCCUUUUUAGUACACCCAGAACACAGAUAGAAAAAGGAGGUGCCACCUGGAGUGAGGGCGGGCAAGCCCUGUGUUGGGAAGCUAGAUGGGCAGAGCCUUUGAGAGAAAUGUUUUUUUGAAUGGUCUUCGGCUGGCCGUUUUUCUCUCUCUCCUUUUAGUGAGCACAUCAACUUCACCAUGUUGGUUGGUAGAAGAGUUUGUGGUGACCGAAGAGUGUACUCCGUGUUCUAACUUCCAGAUU
RNAcentral lists this long non-coding RNA (722 nucleotides) under Rattus norvegicus (Norway rat). RNAcentral describes it as "long non-coding RNA NONRATT015482". The record is from RNAcentral. Lineage: Eukaryota; Metazoa; Chordata; Mammalia; Rodentia; Muridae.